CGGCCGCUGGCGGCGUGCUUAACACAUGCAAGUCGAACGGAAAGGCCCCUUUGGGGGUACUCGAGUGGCGAACGGGUGAGUAACACGUGAGUAACCUGCCCUUGACUUCGGGAUAACUUCAGGAAACUGGGGCUAAUACCGGAUAGGAAUCCUUGCUGCAUGGUGGGGGUUGGAAAGCUUCGGCGGUUUUGGAUGGACUCGCGGCUUAUCAGCUUGUUGGUGGGGUAGUGGCUUACCAAGGCUUUGACGGGUAGCCGGCCUGAGAGGGCGACCGGCCACAUUGGGACUGAGAUACGGCCCAGACUCCUACGGGAGGCAGCAGUGGGGAAUAUUGCACAAUGGGCGGAAGCCUGAUGCAGCAACGCCGCGUGCGGGAUGACGGCCUUCGGGUUGUAAACCGCUUUCAGCAGGGGCGAAGCUUGUGGUGACGGUACCUGCAGAAGAAGCACCGGCUAACUACGUG
Molecule: ribosomal RNA, 463 nt
Filed under: uncultured bacterium
Lineage: Bacteria
Description: partial 16S ribosomal RNA
Rfam family: Bacterial small subunit ribosomal RNA
Source: RNAcentral